Molecule: long non-coding RNA, 884 nt
Organism: Capsella rubella
Lineage: Eukaryota; Viridiplantae; Streptophyta; Magnoliopsida; Brassicales; Brassicaceae
Exons: 4
Source: RefSeq, a predicted model, not a curated record
CUUAUAAUUUGUCUUUAUUGCCCUUCUAACUAAGUCUCUCUUUACUAGUCAGGCAAAUCUAAUGUUUUUUCCUUUUUUUCUUUUAAAUUUAAUAAUGAUCUUUCUCAUCCAUCGAUUCCAGAAAGGCAGAAACAAUAGAAAAAAAAAUCUAGACAAUCUCCAGUUAUUUUUUUUGGUUCGCCAUUCUAACUCAGAAGAGAAUUUAAGGACUUAUGUUCUUUCUUUCUACUCCUCGAUCAUCAAACAAAAAAGGUUUUCAAUUUGUUUGAUACAAAGCACAAUGUAAUACUCAGGUUUGAGGAGUAUGCCCGUGCUCUCUCCGUGUUUCACCCAAAUAGAUGACAAAAUCCAUUGUAUGUCUUCAAAAACUUGGAGUAACAUAAAUCCCCGUUAAUUUGGUUUCAAAUUCAUGUUGCACCUCAGAUACCAAAGGCUCGGAGCGAAGUGCGCCUAGGCUCAGGGCUCAAACCACCCCUUCAUUGCCUUACCUCGCCUCGCGCCAUUUAAAUCACAUGGGUUCAUCGAACGACAAGAGCUACGCUUGCUUAAUCUAGAAUGAAUUUGAAGGCUGGGAUGUGGUUUUUAUGGAUGCAUUAUCAUGGAUGUAGUAUUAUGGACAUGGUCAUAUGGAUGCAGUAUUAUGGAUGUGCUCAUGUGGAUGCCUUGACGUUGUUGUAUGUGAGGUGAUGGGACUAUGCGUAUGGACGACUUGAUUUUAUGGAUAUAGACAAUGAAAUACUCUAUAUUCUUGAAAUUCAUGAGAUAAUUAUAAAACAAACUCAUAGAUUGAUAAUGACUUUUUGUAUAAACUAUUUACAAACAAUUUUGUUUGGUGUAUGGUUAUUUUUGUGCAAAAGAAAAUGUAAGAUAAUGUUAUAACUGAA